ACAUACGACCACAGGGUGUGGAAAAUAGGGCUUCCCGUCCGCUCAGCCGUACUCAAGCCACACGCCGGGAGGUUAGUAGUUGGGUGGGUGA
Non-coding RNA from Aspergillus flavus AF70, 91 nucleotides. The record is from Rfam. NCBI's taxonomy places the organism in Eukaryota, Fungi, Ascomycota, Eurotiomycetes, Eurotiales, Aspergillaceae.